CCUACGGGAGGCAGCAGUGGGGAAUAUUGCGCAAUGGGCGAAAGCCUGACGCAGCGACGCCGCGUGAGGGAUGAAGGUCUUCGGAUCGUAAACCUCUGUCAGCAGGGAAGAACGGUCACUGUGCUAAUCAGCAGUGAAUUGACGGUACCUGCAAAGGAAGCACCGGCUAACUCCGUGCCAGCCGCCGCGGUAAUACGGAGGGUGCGAGCGUUAAUCGGAAUUACUGGGCGUAAAGCGCUCGUAGGCGGUAUGUCAAGUCAAGGGUGAAAUCCCCGCGCUCAACGUGGGAACUGCCUUUGAAACUGGCAAACUGGAGUGUGUGAGAGGAUAGGGGAAUUCCAGGUGUAGGAGUGAAAUCCGUAGAUAUCUGGAGGAACAGCAGUGGCGAAGGCGACUAUCUGGCACAUAACUGACGCUGAGGAGCGAAAGCGUGGGUAGCAAACAGGAUUAGAUACCCCUGUAGUC
RNAcentral lists this ribosomal RNA (465 nucleotides) under uncultured bacterium. Its description in RNAcentral is "partial 16S ribosomal RNA". It matches the Rfam family "Bacterial small subunit ribosomal RNA", at positions 338 to 795 of the family's 1533-position model. The record is from RNAcentral.